GAUGAACGCUGGCGGCGUGCCUAAUACAUGCAAGUCGAGCGAACAGAUAAGGAGCUUGCUCCUUUGACGUUAGCGGCGGACGGGUGAGUAACACGUGGGUAACCUACCUAUAAGACUGGGAUAACUUCGGGAAACCGGAGCUAAUACCGGAUAAUAUUUCGAACCGCAUGGUUCGAUAGUGAAAGAUGGUUUUGCUAUCACUUAUAGAUGGACCCGCGCCGUAUUAGCUAGGUGGUAAGGUAACGGCUUACCAAGGCGACGGUCCGUAGCCGACCUGAGAGGAUGAUCAGCCACACUGGAACUGCGACCAGGACCGGACUACUGCGGGAGGCAGAAGUGGGGAAUAGUGGACGAGGGGCUAAAGCUUGAACCAUCUGUGCCGAGUGUGUGAAGAAGGUCUUCGGAUUGUAAAGCACUUUAAGUUGGGAGGAAGGGCAGUAAGUUAAUACCUUGCUGUUUGGACGUUACCAAAAGAAUAAGCACCGGCUAACUUCGUG
RNAcentral lists this ribosomal RNA (497 nucleotides) under uncultured bacterium. RNAcentral's name for it is "partial 16S ribosomal RNA". It matches the Rfam family "Bacterial small subunit ribosomal RNA", at positions 28 to 507 of the family's 1533-position model. The record is from RNAcentral.